GGGGGGGAGUGGUCGAAGGUGGGACUGGCGAUUGGGACGAAGUCGUAACAAGGUAGCCGUACCGGAAGGUGCGGCUGGAUCACCUCCUUUCUAAGGAGCA
Molecule: ribosomal RNA, 100 nt
Filed under: Saccharopolyspora rhizosphaerae
Lineage: Bacteria; Bacillati; Actinomycetota; Actinomycetes; Pseudonocardiales; Pseudonocardiaceae
Description: Saccharopolyspora sp. H219 partial 16S ribosomal RNA
Rfam family: Bacterial small subunit ribosomal RNA
Source: RNAcentral